This 562-nucleotide ribosomal RNA is filed under the name Trichosporon sp. ST3-4y3. Its description in RNAcentral is "eukaryotic LSU rRNA". It matches the Rfam family "Eukaryotic large subunit ribosomal RNA", at positions 86 to 634 of the family's 3401-position model. Lineage: Eukaryota; Fungi; Basidiomycota; Tremellomycetes; Trichosporonales; Trichosporonaceae. The record is from RNAcentral. RNAcentral also lists the same sequence under 1 other name.
GCGGUGAGCGGAAGAGCUCAAAUUUGAAAUCUGGCUCUCUUCGAUUGCCAGAUGUGUUUCUAUAAAGGCGUUUUCCGUGUGGGACUUGGUCAUGUUCUCUUGAAAAGAACUAUCCAAAAGGGUGAAAUCCCGUACUUAACACGACCACCGGUGCUCUGUGAUUCCUCUUCUACGACUCGAGUUGUUUGGAAAUGCCUCUCAAAAUGGGUGGUGAAUUCCCUCUAAAGCUAAAUAUUGGAGAGAGACCGAUAGCGAACAAGUACCGUGAGGGAAAUAUGAAAAGCUUUUUGAAAAGAGAGUUAAACAGCACGUGAUUUUGUUGAGGGGAAGACUAUUGAUCUCACUCGUGUUCUUUGAAUUCACCCCUUUCUGCUGGUCCACUUCCUUGUAUCGGGUCAACAUCAGUUUUGUCCGGAGGAUAAUUGUAUUAGGAAUGUGACUUCUCCCGAAGUGUUAUAGCCUAUUAUCACAUAUACUGGGUGAGACUGAGGACUGUGCCUCGCCUUUAUGGCCGGCCUUCGUACAGAUUCUAGCUUACCAUGCUGAAUAAAUGGCUCUAAAC